RNAcentral lists this ribosomal RNA (308 nucleotides) under uncultured bacterium. Its description in RNAcentral is "bacterial SSU rRNA". It matches the Rfam family "Bacterial small subunit ribosomal RNA", at positions 32 to 331 of the family's 1533-position model. The record is from RNAcentral.
AAUCAACGCUGGCGGCGUGCCUCAGACAUGCAAGUCGAACGAUUGAAGCUCUCUUCGGAGAGUGUAUAGAGUGGCGCACGGGUGAGUAACACGUAAGUAAUCUACCUUCGAGUGGGGAAUAACGUCCGGAAACGGACGCUAAUACCGCAUAAUGCAGCGGCAUCGCAAGAUGACAGUUAGUUAAAGAUUUAUCGCUUGAAGAGGAGCUUGCGGCAGAUUAGCUAGUUGGUAAGGUAACGGCUUACCAAGGCUACGAUCUGUAUCCGGUCUAAGAGGACGGUCGGACACACUGACACUGAAUAACGGGU